Molecule: transfer RNA, 73 nt
Filed under: Cimex lectularius (bed bug)
Lineage: Eukaryota; Metazoa; Arthropoda; Insecta; Hemiptera; Cimicidae
Description: tRNA-Lys
Rfam family: tRNA
About the family: Transfer RNA (tRNA) molecules are approximately 80 nucleotides in length. Their secondary structure includes four short double-helical elements and three loops (D, anti-codon, and T loops).
Source: Rfam by way of RNAcentral
GUCACGAUAGCUCAAGUGAUAGAGCAGCGGCUUUUUUAGCCGAAGGUCGUGGGUUCGAAUCCCUCUCGUGACA